RNAcentral lists this ribosomal RNA (697 nucleotides) under uncultured bacterium. RNAcentral describes it as "SSU rRNA". It matches the Rfam family "Bacterial small subunit ribosomal RNA", at positions 22 to 713 of the family's 1533-position model. The record is from RNAcentral.
GCUCAGAUUGAACGCUGGCGGCAGGCCUAACACAUGCAAGUCGAGCGGAUGAAGGUAGCUUGCUACCGGAUUCAGCGGCGGACGGGUGAGUAAUGCCUAGGAAUCUGCCCGAUAGUGGGGGACAACGUUUCGAAAGGAACGCUAAUACCGCAUACGUCCUACGGGAGAAAGCAGGGGACCUUCGGGCCUUGCGCUAUCGGAUGAGCCUAGGUCGGAUUAGCUAGUUGGUGGGGUAAAGGCUCACCAAGGCGACGAUCCGUAACUGGUCUGAGAGGAUGAUCAGUCACACUGGAACUGAGACACGGUCCAGACUCCUACGGGAGGCAGCAGUGGGGAAUAUUGGACAAUGGGCGAAAGCCUGAUCCAGCCAUGCCGCGUGUGUGAAGAAGGUCUUCGGAUUGUAAAGCACUUUAAGCUGGGAGGAAGGGCAGUAAGUUAAUACCUUGCUGUUUUGACGUUACCAGCAGAAUAAGCACCGGCUAACUUCGUGCCAGCAGCCGCGGUAAUACGAAGGGUGCAAGCGUUAAUCGGAAUUACUGGGCGUAAAGCGCGCGUAGGUGGUUCAGCAAGUUGGAUGUGAAAGCCCCGGGUCUCAACCUGGGAACUGCAUCCAAAACGUACUGAGCUAGAGUAUGGUAGAGGGUGUGGAAUUUCCUGUGUAGCGGUGAAAUGCGUAGAUAUAGGAAGGAACACCAGU